Long non-coding RNA from Monodelphis domestica (gray short-tailed opossum), 439 nucleotides. RefSeq lists it as uncharacterized. The record is from RefSeq and is a predicted model, not a curated record. Lineage: Eukaryota; Metazoa; Chordata; Mammalia; Didelphimorphia; Didelphidae.
AUCUGAUCAGCUCUUCAUUUAAAUUCAUAGAUAGAGCUUAAUCUUCCCCUGGACCAGAUAUAUGAAAAUGAAUACAGUUUCUGGUCUCCCUUUCUCAUGUUCUCUUUUCUUUAUGAAGUUUAGGUGGUCUCUUAGAAUAUCAGAAGACAUCAUAGAGGAGAUCUAGUCCAGUUUUUCAUUCAGUAGAAUGAUCUCUACUGGAACAUUCCAGACAAAUGGACAUCUGGUCUCUGAUGGAACACUUCUAAUAAUAGUGAACUCAUCACCUCCCAGAGGCCAAAACUGCCCAAUGGGAACAGAGCAGCUGGCAGGACCUGGAGACCACUGGAAGGAAAACUCCAAGAGGACAAGCAAUACAUUUUUGGAUUUCUUAGUAUCCAUAGAACUUGCCACAGUGCCUGACACAUACUAAACCUGUAAUAAAUGCUUAUAGAUCGCC